GAUGAAGAACGUAGCGAAAUGCGAUAAGUAGUGUGAAUUGCAGAAUUUAGUGAAUCAUCGAAUCUUUGAACGCACAUUGCGCCCUUUGGUAUUCCUUAGGGCAUGCCUGUUCGAGCGUCAUCUACAUCCUCAAGCACAGCUUGGUGAUGGGCGCCUGUCCCGCCCCCCACGGGGGCGCGGACUCGCCUCAAAUGCAUUGGCGGCCGGCGACCUGGCUUCGAGCGCAGCAGAAACGCGUACUCGGGGACCGGGCGCCCGCUCCCAGAAGCCAACCCACCCAGUUUGACCUCGGAUCAGGUAGGGAUACCCGCUGAACUUAAGCAUAUCAAUAAGCGGAGGA
RNAcentral lists this unclassified non-coding RNA (340 nucleotides) under soil metagenome. Its description in RNAcentral is "partial contains 5.8S ribosomal RNA, internal transcribed spacer 2, and large subunit ribosomal RNA". The stretch from base 1 to 120 matches the Rfam family "5.8S ribosomal RNA", at positions 35 to 154 of the family's 154-position model. The record is from RNAcentral.